CAGGGCUGCAGGCACAAGAACUCCCCUUGCUCAGCCUGGGCCCAACACAGCUGAAGGGCUGACAGGUCAAAGGGCAGGGGACCCCAGGAAUCAGAGCGCAGGGUGGCAUCAGAGAGGAGAGCCCCAGUACAAUGUUUUCCUUGGUGUGCGUGGACCACCGAGUUUCUCCCUCGCCACUGAGGAGCAUCUGCAUUGUUACCAGGCGAUGAAGCACUGGGGCUGGGGAUAUUGCUCAGUGGCAUAAGCACCUGCCUGGCAAGCGCAAGGUUGUGAGCUCGAUCCCCGGUACUGAAAAAAAAAAAAAAAAGAACCAGGCGAUGAAGCAUAAAGCUGCAGUAAGCCC
RNAcentral lists this long non-coding RNA (343 nucleotides) under Chinchilla lanigera (long-tailed chinchilla). Its description in RNAcentral is "lncRNA (ENSCLAG00000023582.1)". Lineage: Eukaryota; Metazoa; Chordata; Mammalia; Rodentia; Chinchillidae. The record is from RNAcentral.